CGACUACAUUAGAUACCCGGGUAGUCCUAGCCGUAAACGAUACUCGCUAGGUGUCGGCCACGGUGCGACCGUUGUCGGUGCCGUAGGGAAGCCGUGAAGCGAGCCACCUGGGAAGUACGGCCGCAAGGCUGAAACUUAAAGGAAUUGGCGGGGAGCACCACAACGGGUGGAGCUUGCGGUUUAAUUGGACUCAACGCCGGAAAACUCAUCGGGAGCGACAGCAGUAUGAUUGCCAGGUUGAUGACCUUGCUUGACAAGCUG
This 261-nucleotide ribosomal RNA is filed under the name uncultured archaeon. RNAcentral describes it as "partial 16S ribosomal RNA". It matches the Rfam family "Archaeal small subunit ribosomal RNA", at positions 721 to 982 of the family's 1478-position model. The record is from RNAcentral.